GAYGAACGCUGGCGGCGUGCCUAAUACAUGCAAGUCGAGCGAACAGAAGGGAGCUUGCUCCCGGAUGUUAGCGGCGGACGGGUGAGUAACACGUGGGUAACCUGCCUGUAAGACUGGGAUAACUCCGGGAAACCGGAGCUAAUACCGGAUAGUUCCUUGAACCGCAUGGUUCAAGGAUGAAAGACGGUUUCGGCUGUCACUUACAGAUGGACCCGCGGCGCAUUAGCUAGUUGGUGGGGUAAUGGCUCACCAAGGCGNNGAUGCGUAGCCGACCUGAGAGGGUGAUCGGCCACACUGGGACUGAGACACGGCCCAGACUCCUACGGGAGGCAGCAGUAGGGAAUCUUCCGCAAUGGACGAAAGUCUGACGGAGCAACGCCGCGUGAGUGAUGAAGGUUUUCGGAUCGUAAAG
RNAcentral lists this ribosomal RNA (412 nucleotides) under Bacillus sp. R-31321. Its description in RNAcentral is "bacterial SSU rRNA". It matches the Rfam family "Bacterial small subunit ribosomal RNA", at positions 28 to 430 of the family's 1533-position model. The record is from RNAcentral. Lineage: Bacteria; Bacillati; Bacillota; Bacilli; Caryophanales; Bacillaceae.